GACGAACGCUGGCGGCGUGCCUAAUACAUGCAAGUCGAGCGAAGUUUUUCCGGUGCUUGCACCGGAAAAACUUAGCGGCGCACGGGUGAGUAACACGUAAAGAACCUGCCUCAUAGACUGGGACAACUAUUGGAAACGAUAGCUAAUACCGGAUAAUAGCAUUAACUGCAUGGUUGAUGUUUAAAAGUUGGUUUUGCUAACACUAUGAGAUGGCUUUGCGGUGCAUUAGCUAGUUGGUGGGGUAAAGGCCUACCAAGGCGACGAUGCAUAGCCGACCUGAGAGGGUGAUCGGCCACACUGGGACUGAGACACGGCCCAGACUCCUACGGGAGGCAGCAGUAGGGAAUCUUCCGCAAUGGGCGAAAGCCUGACGGAGCAACGCCGCGUGAGUGAAGAAGGAUUUCGGUUCGUAAAGCUCUGUUGUUAGGGAAGAAUGAUUGUGUAGUAACUAUACACAGUAGAGACGGCACCUAACCAGAAAGCCACGGCUAACUACGUG
RNAcentral lists this ribosomal RNA (499 nucleotides) under uncultured bacterium. RNAcentral describes it as "partial 16S ribosomal RNA". It matches the Rfam family "Bacterial small subunit ribosomal RNA", at positions 28 to 507 of the family's 1533-position model. The record is from RNAcentral.